AUUUUACAAGCACUGAAAAUGAAACAAGAGCUUAGUGUACAAACCUGUUACAAUUUGGGGGAAUAUUUGGCUUAUAUAAUUUAAAACAUAUCAUUUACCAUGGAAGCAAUCCUAUUGAUAAAGAUUGUCAAUAGGACACAGAGCACUGAAAAAAAUGUUAAUUUUAAAGUUAAAGAUGUGAUUCUUAAUACAUAUCACUGAAUUGAAUUUCACUUUGUCAAAACUCAUGCCUUAAGCUUGCUUCUUUAGAUAAAAUAACUUGUUGGCAUCUGGUUUUGGAACCUAAACAAAAAUGAUAAUGCACAGAAAUAUUCAUGGUCUCUUCGACAAAUGACACCCAGCCACAAGCCUAGCCAUUC
This 359-nucleotide long non-coding RNA is filed under the name Bos taurus (domestic cattle). Its description in RNAcentral is "long non-coding RNA NONBTAT011506". Lineage: Eukaryota; Metazoa; Chordata; Mammalia; Artiodactyla; Bovidae. The record is from RNAcentral.